This is an RNA transcript of Erigeron canadensis, 3435 nucleotides long. It is a transcript of the gene named putative adenylate cyclase regulatory protein, with no coding region annotated. Lineage: Eukaryota; Viridiplantae; Streptophyta; Magnoliopsida; Asterales; Asteraceae. The transcript is spliced from 4 exons. The record is from RefSeq and is a predicted model, not a curated record.
UAGAACUUCACAUGUCUUUCCCAUGUCCAAAUCUCAAAGCCCUUAGCCUUAACUGCUCAAAGUUGAGGACCCUUGAAUUUGGGUUGACUUUGCAUCCAGAGACGUUAAGUAUUCAAGGAUGUGAUUUGUUAGAACUUCACAUGCCUGGUGAGUGUUCAAACCUCAAAUCCCUCAUUAUUAACUCUUCAAAGUUAAGAUACCUUAGCCUUGAGUUGACUCCAAAUCUUGAGACAUUAUUGCUUAAAGAAUGUCAUGAUUUAUUAGAACUUCACAUACCCUUCCAAUGUCCCAAGCUAAAAUCCCUCAGCACUAGCUGUUUAAAGUUGAGGACCCUCAAUCUUGGGUCGACUCCGGAUCUUCAGACGUUAAUUCUCGAAGGAUGUCAUGAUUUAUCAGAACUUAACAUGCCCUUCGAAUGUGCGAAACUCAAAUCCCUCGACCUUAAUUGUAGGAUGUUGAAGACUCUCAAUCUUGGUUCGACUCCGGAUCUUGAGACGUUAAAUCUUGAAGGAUGUGAUCAUUUAUUAGAACUCAACAUGCCUUUUGAAUGCUUAAAGCUCAAAUCCCUAAACCUGCAAUACUGUAAGAUGUUAAGGAUCCUUAAUCUUGGGUCCACUCCGGAUCUUAUGACAUUAAGUCUUGGAAGAUGUUAUGGUCUAUUAGAGUUUCACAUGCCCUUUCCAUGUCCAAAGCUCAAAUCCCUCAAUGGUAACUUUUCAAAGUUCAGGACCCUUAAGCUUGCACCCACUCCGGAUCUUGAGACGUUAAGUCUUGGCGGAUGUCAUGAUCUAUUAGAACUUGACAUGCCCUUCCGAUGUGCAAAGCUCAAAGCCCUCAGCCUUAACUGUUCAAAGUUGAGGACCCUUACAUUUGGGCCGAUAUUGGAGAUAGAGACGUUAAGUAUUAAAGGAUGUGAUUUGUUAGAACUUCACAUGCCCAAUGAGUGUCCACAACUCAAAUCUCUCGGUGUUAUCUCUUCAAAGUUGAGGAUUCUUAACCUUGGUUCCACUCCAAAUCUUGAAAUGAUAAGUCUUGAAAGAUGUCAUGAUUUAUUAGAACUUAACAUGCCCUUCCAAUGUUCAAAGCUUAAAUCCCUCAACCUUUAUUGUAGGAUGUUAAGGACCCUUAAUCUUGGGUUGACUCCGGAUCUUCAGACGAUAAAUCUCGAAGGAUGUGAUGCUUUAUCAGAACUUAAUAUGCCCUUCGAAUGUUCAAAGCUUAAAUCCCUCAACCUUGAAGGUUGUAAGAUGUUGAGGACCCUUAAUCUUGGGUCCACUCCGGAUCUUGAGUCAUUAAGUCUUGUAAGAUGUUAUGAGUUAUUAGAACUUCACAUGCCCUUUGGAUGUCCAAAGCUCAAAUCCCUCAAUGGUAACUUUUCAAAAUUGGAGACCUUUAAACUUGCACCCACUCCUGAUCUCGAGACAUUAAGUCUUAGCGGAUGCCAUGAUUUAUUGGAACUUCACAUGCCCUUUCGAUGUCCAAAGCUCAAAGCCCUCGGUCUUUACUGCUCAAAAUUGAGGAUCCUUGAAUUUGGGCCGAUAUUGGAUCUAGAGACAUUAAGUAUUCAAGGAUGUGAUUUGUUAGAACUAUACAUGCCCAAUGAGUGUCCAAACCUCAAAUCCCUCUGUGUUGACUCUUCAAAAUUAAGGACCGUUAACCUUGGGUCAACUCCGGAUCUUCGGAUGUUAAGUCUUGAAAGAUGUCAUGAUUUAAUAGAACUUAACAUGCCCUUUGGAUGUCCAAAGCUCAAAUCCCUCAACCUUAGUGAUUCAAAGUUGAGGAUCCUUGACCUUAGGCUGACUCCAAAUCUCGAAAGGCUAGAUAUUAAAGAUUGUUUUGAUUUAGUAGAACUUCACUGUCUCAUUGGAUGUCUGGAAAAGCUUGUCUAUUUAAACUUAAGUGAUAGUUUGGGAUUUAAAUGUUUUUUGUUUGACAAGAAUAUCCAAUCACCUGGUGUUGUUUCUUUACAUCUGAUUGCAAAGUCUGUAAAAACAUGCCCAUUGCACUCUUGCAGUAAUUUGCAAAGUUUUGUGUUUUCAUGUUUAUAUGGUGAACCUAUAUCUUCUUCAAUCGGAAAUCUUAGAAAUCUUAUUUCAGUAGGUCUCUGUACUUGUACAAACCUUGAGAGCUUUUCAGAAAAUAUUUGUAAUUUACAAUCUUUAAGCAAGCUUACACUCGAAGGCAGUAUUCCUGAGGUUCCCAAGGACCUUGACCUAUUAGAAAGUUUAGAGGAGCUAAGUUUUUUGUCUGAAAAAAUUCAACAUCUUCCAAUUAGCAUAUGUAUGUUGAAACAUGUAAAACUUCUCAAACUUAAAUCCUGUUGGUUAAUUGAGAAGUUGCCCGAGGAUCUUGGGCGGUUAGAGUGUUUGGAGUAUCUUUACCUUAUAGACUGUAUACUUUUACGGGAUAUUCCGAAGAGCGUCUGUGAAUUGAAACGUUUAAAAUCUUUCCAUCUCCCCUACUGUAUGCUAGUUGAGAAAUUGCCGGAAGAACUUGGACGUUUAGAAUGUUUGAAAGAGUUGAAUGUAGAAGGUGCAGGCAUAACUCAUCUUCCGCAAAGUAUUUUUGGAUUGGAAGGUCUGUGUAUUAUUGGGUCAAGAUGGCGGCUUCAGUCGUACGGUUUUACAUCCAUGUAUCCCGUGUCACGAAGCUCAAGUUACAUGGUGUACUGCUACAUAGGUUCUCACAACAUGAGUUCCUUCUACCAAGAAGUAUUGUAGCAGGGGUGAAUUUGAGCUAGUUUUGUGCUCAUAUUGUAAAGAGUCUCCUGAAGAUGGUGAUGAUACAAUUGUGAAGUGCAAAACUGCAAGAGACCAGUGGACAGAUUUUAAAGACUUGUGGAAGGUGCUGUUUCAUCAACCCCUUUUCUGAUUCUUACCGCUGCAGCUUUCUAUGCCGAUUUUAGGCAUUGUGAUGCGACAUUGUGGGUUAGGUGUUGGACGUAUAUAUGCAGGUCCAAGGCUCCCAUCUCAACUUAAAAUAAUUUCUUAUACAUGCAUGAAGCUAAAUUAAUCCAAAACAUUGUUGAACAUAUUUCAUUCAAGCUUUGCGUCAUUAGAUCAAGCGCGGCCAAUGAAGAUUUAACCGGCACAAAGAUGCAAGUAAAAGACGUACCACUCUUGAAAACUGGUUAUGACAAUCUUGAAAUGAUAGGGAACAAGUGGGUGGCAGCCGGUGGUCGCUACUGAAGUUACAAAAGCUUCUUUGUCUGGUUUAAAGUCGUUUCAAAAAUUAGUCCUCUCGGAUGUAUCAAAGGAUCAAGGCAUCAUUGGCAAAAGUGUUUAUAAUGGUAAAGGCAUGAUGAAAAAGAUUAUGAAUGGCCCAAAAGUGAUACGAAGAAAGGCAAACAAGAAGGAAAUAAAUUCGGACAUUUGUGAAUCGAGCGAGUAAAUCAAUGAGACCUGUUGGUAUUAUUUUUAUGGUAUCUUCACUAGG